AACGAACGCUGGCGGCAUGCCUAACACAUGCAAGUCGAACGAAACCUCCGGGACUAGUGGCGCACGGGGGCGUAACGCGAGGGAACCUGCACUUAGGUUCGAAAUAACUCCCCGAAAGGGGUGCUAAUACCGGAUAAUGUCUUCGGACCAAAGAUUUAUCGCCCUGGGAUGGGCCAGCGUUGCAUUAGCUAGUUGGUAGGGUAACAGCUUACCAAGGCAACGAUGCGUAGCUGGCCAGAGAGGGUGAUCAGCCACACUGGGACUGAGACACGGUCCAGACUCCUACGGGAGGCAGCAGUAGGGAAUCUUCCGCAAUGGGCGAAAGCCUGACGGAGCAACGCCGCGUGAGUGAUGAAGGUCUUCGGAUCGUAAAACUCUGUUAUUAGGGAAGAACAAAUGUGUAAGUAACUAUGCACGUCUUGACGGUACCUAAUCAGAAAGCCACGGCUAACUACGUG
RNAcentral lists this ribosomal RNA (458 nucleotides) under uncultured bacterium. RNAcentral describes it as "partial 16S ribosomal RNA". It matches the Rfam family "Bacterial small subunit ribosomal RNA", at positions 29 to 507 of the family's 1533-position model. The record is from RNAcentral.